This 51-nucleotide transfer RNA is filed under the name Pseudoniphargus sp. 6-Morocco A. RNAcentral's name for it is "tRNA-Val". Lineage: Eukaryota; Metazoa; Arthropoda; Malacostraca; Amphipoda; Allocrangonyctidae. The record is from RNAcentral.
AAAGAAUGAGAGAUUUCAGUUACGUUGAAAGGAACCUAAUAGGCAUUCUUU